AGAGUGUUAAGUUAAGUAGACUUUAAUAUUUCAAGUAUUAAUGAGGCUAAGUGCCACACUUUA
RNAcentral lists this transfer RNA (63 nucleotides) under Macridiscus melanaegis. Its description in RNAcentral is "tRNA-Trp". The record is from RNAcentral. Lineage: Eukaryota; Metazoa; Mollusca; Bivalvia; Venerida; Veneridae.